RNAcentral lists this long non-coding RNA (1936 nucleotides) under Canis lupus familiaris (dog). RNAcentral's name for it is "lncRNA (ENSCAFG00845004019.1)". The record is from RNAcentral. Lineage: Eukaryota; Metazoa; Chordata; Mammalia; Carnivora; Canidae.
CAACAUUUUGGAAUUCAUAUUAGAGGCUGGUUAAGAGUAUGUCCAUUGAAGUCUUAGAUUGGAUGCUAACCUUACCAAUGGCCACUGAGUGGCCAGAGCUUUUACAAAAUUAGUCCUGGACUUUCAAAUUUAAUUUCUCAACCAGCAAAUACAGAAAAUAACAGAAUCUACUACAUAAAGUUUUGGCAAAAAUUAAAACAGCUACUGUGGUAAAGCUCCUAAUAUGUUGUCUAAUACAUGGUAGGGACUCUAAAAGAAAUAGGUUUUCUCCUCCGAAUAAAUUUUUUUCUUAGGCAAGUAUAGACUUGCAUAAGACAGAAAGUGGCAACAAUAAUAUAAAUCCCUAGAAUUCAAAGUUCUAAUUAUAAAUAUCAAUACUUGAACUACACACAGAUAAAGACUUUCAGCCCCUAUUAAAGGUACAUAAGACUGUGCACCCACACUGAAGAACUACAGUGUUUCUUUGAGAAAUUGGUGUUUUGAGUGAAUUUUAUAAUUUUUACCUCUCCUGCUUCACCUUAAGUUUUUACUUUUUAAUGUUUUUAGUGUUCCUGACUCAUGAAAUCCUAUCUCCUCCAAUUUGUAUCAUGCUUUAAAAAGCAGACUGACUUUCUGUGUGUGGGCAUCUGAUUUUAUUUCAUAUACUGCUAAAAAAUCAUGUUCUAAAUGGGGGCCUAAAGGUAUAUUAUCUAUUCAUAAAGUGCAAGAGCUAUAGUGAAUGGCCAUUUUGACAUUUAAUUUGGUUGUCCAGCAAUCUUUUCCUGUUAAAUUCCUCUUUCUUGGGUAUUCCUUUGAUAAUAAAUUUGUCAGCAAUGUCAUCUCUGGACAAAUGACAGAAGUUUAUGUAUAAUGAAGAAACAAAAAAGGACAAAUAUUAGAGAACGCUAAUUUUUUAAGGAACUGAGCAAAGUACAGAUUGUUGGCUGAAAGACAUUCUGCAUUUAGCCUGCCUGUUAUUUAAAAAUUAGUUUUCAAGAUUCAAAAAGACAAAAUAGAAGAAUUUAUGUUACAAUCUGGAUCUCCAGUUUAUUGUGAAAAUUUGGGCAGUCUAGAAAUGUCCACUUCCAGAAAGAUGUAUUAAAUGUACUUCACAUAUUCCUCCCACUAGGUACAACUAAAACACCCAGAUAUUAUAUAUAAAACAAAUAUAAGAAAAAAAAAAUAUGAAGGGUGGAAAGAAAAGGCAGACUAGCUAGGGCCUUUACAACCCAAGGAACAAUUCUGUGGCAAGUUCCUGAGAUUUCUUUUUGCCCUAUAUAUCCCAGACUUGGAGCUAAAGACACUGGCAACACAAAAACAUCAAUAGGCACAAACAACAAAAGCUCCAACAAAAAGCAGGCUUUCUCUAGUCAGAGGACUAACAAAGAAGCAGUAUAAUAAGAAUGAAAAUGUUUAGUCAGUAACCACUUCCCUCUAGCCAAACAACAAGGAAAAUACUGUAGUCCCAGUCUCACCUUCAUCACCAAAAGCCAAGUGGGGAACCUACAUUUCCAUGCUGCUGAGGUGACAAGGCCUCUCAAUCUCAAAGAGUGGUUUCAGAAAGGCUAAGAAGAGAGCUAGGAUUUUCAUCCCUUCCAGAAUAUAAUGAGGCUAUCCUCUCCUUAUAGGAAGCUUGGCCUUCAACUCCUACUGAGUACUAACAAGAUGCCACUUUCCUCUGCUGGAGUGGUAUAGGAGGCCUAGUAAGGAAUUGUCAUUCUUCCUCGUGUUGGUCCUUCUGCCUCUUGUUGGUAGUUGUUGGUGUCACUAGAUAUUGGUAUCGGUGGGAGAAAUGAGGGGUUAUGAGGCACUGCUCCCCAAACACCAAGGGAAGUAUCAGUGGAGUCCUAGUGGGGAGCCAGAAAUCCCCUGCCUCCUCCCCACUUAUCAGCUUCUAAUAAGGAGUUCCCUGCCCUGGGGUAUUGGCAGAGACUGAGUGGGAAACCAGGACUUUUGU